This is a small nucleolar RNA of Juglans microcarpa x Juglans regia, 107 nucleotides long. The record is from RefSeq and is a predicted model, not a curated record. NCBI's taxonomy places the organism in Eukaryota, Viridiplantae, Streptophyta, Magnoliopsida, Fagales, Juglandaceae.
AAAUCAUGGUGGGGACACUUAAGAAUCAAGUCCUUAAAUCUCUCCCAACUCUCAUAAAAACUUUCAUUAUCUUCUUGAUAAAAAUCAGCAAUCUCUCUCCUCAAAGC